This 30-nucleotide non-coding RNA is filed under the name Mus musculus (house mouse). The record is from RNAcentral. Lineage: Eukaryota; Metazoa; Chordata; Mammalia; Rodentia; Muridae.
UAUCUGUAAGGAUGGUAAUCUGCCUGCUCC